RNAcentral lists this ribosomal RNA (459 nucleotides) under Metschnikowia aff. hawaiiana PLE2W1. RNAcentral describes it as "[Candida] aff. hawaiiana PLE2W1 partial large subunit ribosomal RNA". It matches the Rfam family "Eukaryotic large subunit ribosomal RNA", at positions 108 to 655 of the family's 3401-position model. Lineage: Eukaryota; Fungi; Ascomycota; Pichiomycetes; Serinales; Metschnikowiaceae. The record is from RNAcentral. RNAcentral also lists the same sequence under 1 other name.
CUCAAAUUUGAAAUCCCUCGGGAGUUGUAAUUUGUAGGUYGGGAGCAGGCAGAARCAAAAAGAAAAAGUCCCUUGGAACAGGGSGCCUUGGAGGGUGAGAGCCCCGUAUUUCUUGGAACUUCUUCCCUAUCCCCUCCAAAGAGUCGAGUUGUUUGGGAAUGCRGCUCAAAGUGGGUGGUAAAUUCCAUCUAAAGCUAAAUAUUGGSGAGAGACCGAUAGCGAACAAGUACCGUGAGGGAAAGAUGAAAAGCACUUUGAAAAGAGAGUGAAACAGUACGUGAAAUUGUUGAAAGGGAAGGGCUUGCRAGCAGACACUUUUGGGCCASCAUCASUUGAAGGGGAUACASAAACAGGAGGGAAUGURGCUUUCGAGUAUUAUAUCCCUCUUUCAUAUAUCCUCCUUCGUCUGAGGCCUGCUUUUAUAGGAUGCUGGCGUAAUGGKUGCAAGCCGCCCGUCUU